AAUAGAUACCCAGGUAGUCCACGCCGUAAACGAUGAGUGCUAAGUGUUAGGGGGUUUCCGCCCCCUUAGUGCUGCAGCUAACGCAUUAAGCACUCCGCCUGGGGAGUACGGUCGCAAGACUGAAACUCAAAGGAAUUGACGGGGGCCCGCACAAGCGGUGGAGCAUGUGGUUUAAUUCGAAGCAACGCGAAGAACCUUACCAGGUCUUGACAUCCCACUGACCGCUAUGGAGACAUAGUUUUCCCUUCGGGGACAGUGGUGACAGGUGGUGCAUGGUUGUCGUCAGCUCGUGUCGUGAGAUGUUGGGUUAAGUCCCGCAACGAGCGCAACCCUUGAUCUUAGUUGCCAUCAUUUAGUUGGGCACUCUAAGGUGACUGCCGGUGACAAACCGGAGGAAGGUGGGGAUGACGUCAAAUCAUCAUGCCCCUUAUGACCUGGGCUACACACGUGCUACAAUGGACGGUACAAACGGUUGCCAACCCGCGAGGGGGAGCUAAUCCGAUAAAACCGUUCUCAGUUCGGAUUGUAGGCUGCAACUCGCCUAC
RNAcentral lists this ribosomal RNA (545 nucleotides) under uncultured bacterium. Its description in RNAcentral is "bacterial SSU rRNA". It matches the Rfam family "Bacterial small subunit ribosomal RNA", at positions 777 to 1319 of the family's 1533-position model. The record is from RNAcentral.